Molecule: long non-coding RNA, 3065 nt
Filed under: Lactuca sativa (garden lettuce)
Lineage: Eukaryota; Viridiplantae; Streptophyta; Magnoliopsida; Asterales; Asteraceae
Description: long non-coding RNA (LSAT_LNC000167)
Source: RNAcentral
CAAGCCUUAAAAUGAUUUUUGGGCACAAUAAGACAUGCUUUUAGGAGUUUACGGCCAUGGAGCACCUUCUAUGGCCGUAAACUCUCAAAUGAAGAGUUUUGAUGUGUUUAAGGCCCUUAAACUAUUUUUGGUUGGUUCUAUGAUUUAUUCCAAGGCUUUUGGUGGUGUUGGAUGGCUUUCUAACACCUUGAAAAUGAUUUUACACCCAUGAUUGAGGAGUUUACAGCCUAGGCACAUGCCUUGGCCAUAAACUCAUUCAAACCCCUCAAAAUUCAUGUUUAAGGUGUUCUAGGUCCAUAACCAAUAUUCUAAAAGUCGUAUCUAAGUCUUGUUUGAGCCAUGGAAGGGUUUAAGGGCUUAAAAACCCUUUAAAUAUUGGUUUACGGCCUAAGCACCAUCCUGGGCCGUAAACUCAUAUAUAAGGCUCUAAAUCAUGGUUUGAGGCAUUCUAAUUCCAUUUCAUAAAGUCAUCUAGCCAUAUUCAAGGUCUAAUUGUGGUUUGGAAGGGUUUUGUUGCUCCAAAAACCCCCAUUUAUAUGAGUUUACGGCCUAGGACUGUUCUGGGGCCGUAAAAUCUUGAUAAUGGUCCUAAUCCAUGGUUUAAACUCGAAUUUGAAGGCUAGAAAGGUUGCAUAACAAAUUAGGGAAGGUACCUUGAAGAUUUGAGACCUUAAACUUGAGAUUUGGACCUUUAAAUCUAGUUUGAGGAGAGAGGUUGGAGUGAAAGUUGUAGAAUGGAGCAAAAGCUUCAAAAUGAAGACUUGGAUCACUUUAAAUAGUGUCCAAGUUCGGGACACGGUAGAAUUCUACCCGAUACCGGCGUUAGACGGGGCUUUUGGUCGCACCCGGCCAAUUUGCCAUAACCCGAUAUGGUUGAUUCUAGAAAUGUUCCGAUCAUUAAUAUGAGACGUUAGAAUGAGUUCUAAGGGUAUUAAGACACUCAUUAAGUCAUAAAAUAAAAUAUACAUUAAUGACUUAAUAAAAUGCCGGAAUCGGAAACGAAAUCGGAAACGGCGAUUGGAUGAUCGAAACGAGUCGCGAGUAGGGUUACAUUUAGGGAUAUGAAUUUCCGGGUUGUUACAUUAUCCCCCCGUUAGAGGGAAUUUCGUCCCGAAAUUCAAAGAUUCGAACACAGAUCACGAAGUGAAAAGAGAUAUGAGAAUGAAUCUACUGCUUCGGGUCUUCAAGCUCCUAAGUGGAAUCGGGUCUCCGCUUGACAUUCCAGCGAACCCUCACUGUCAGGAUGUGGCUUUGUUACGCAUGGUUAACCUCUCCAUCCACGAUCUCAAUUGAUUCAUCCAUGAAGGUUCGGAUUUUUAUCGGUUUUGACCUCGUCAAGGGUGACUAAGGUUUUCGUCAGGUCGGCAAGCCUUACGAAUAAAUAUGCGGAAUAUCAGAUGGUUGCUACUGAGUCCUGAAGAUAGCUCGGAGAGGGCUAUGGAAUCAAUUCCUAACGAAUAUCUCGAAGGGUCUAAGGUUCCACAAGUUAAGUUUUCCGCACUUCUUAAGGCGUACUAUGUCUUUCCAGGGUAAAACCUCCAACAAGUGGGUACAUUGUCACAUGGCAGAGUAACUAAGGGUCCGAUGGUUCUAAGGGAAACUUCUACAUGAGUCUACGAUUAUAGUCGACGGAAUCCCAAGAAUCGACAGGUUUCCAUGGGUGUUCCCGGUGUCGACUAAUUCUUUAUUGCCUUUGCUUUUGGAAGGGUUUACGAGUAUGACUGCUUUGCUUAACUAUAUGACCAAGAAAAUGGUUCGACCGAAGGGCGCCACUACUACCUCGUAGUGAUCGUAUCAUGCCCUGAUUGCUGCCUUGCACAUAUCGUGCUCAUUGAGGUUUGACUACGAGGAAAUUCCUGGGAUUAGUUCGAUGCGAGACUGGAUUGCACAUUCGGAAAGAAUUACCAAGAAUUCUUUGGAAACAGUAUCGGGGAAGGAAUCGUAGACUUCUCGUUUCUCGAUGAUCACUCGGACGAUAAAUACAUGGAAAGACUUUUUAAGCUUUGAUGUACGAAAAUCAUGAAAGUCGAGUCGGAGGAAGGUUGGAACGAAUGGCUUUCUCGAAACUAGGAAAGACAACAUGAAUGAGGCUCAGUUAUUACAUGCUAAAGGUGACAUCAAAGCAUCUCAUAAAAAGUUUGCCAAUAGAUCGAAUGGAAAAGAAUAAUUUUUUGGAUUGAGGAUACAAUUUACGGAUACGACACAAGCGUUCUCGUUCUCACGUGAUAACCAUCUCGAAGAUAUACAUUUUCGGUUACUCGCAAACGGCAGGGUUAGAAAAUGUUCAAAUGGAUGGUUAACGAAUUUCUUUCGGUGCUAGAAUCGAAAAGAAUCACAGACAUAUAAUUUAACAAGGAGAAAUAUACCUGUGGCAAUGGUGGGAUCGGUGGCUGUAUCCUCUUGUCCUAUCGCUAGAACUCUUCCGGUGUUUCCAGGUGUUACGGCCUUGGGACAGUUUCGCUUAAGAUGUCCAACUUCUCCACAACCAUAGCAGGCCCGACCAAUGUCCGCUCUGAAAGUUUGACUCGUUGAUUGGGUUGGUGUCUUAAAGUUUUUUCGCCAUGUAACCCUUUAUGCCACAUUUGUUGCAAAUUAUCUCGAUACAUGGACCGAAAGGAAGAUGAUGAUAGUUGCACUUGUCACAACUAGGAAGGGUUCCAGUAUACCUAUUGGCAGGUUUUCGGGUUGAGGAUCUAUCAACAGACACAGUUGCAGGGGAAGUGGCAGCGUGAACUGCCACCGUUUGCUGUCUCUUCGAAGACUCGUGCGAUGCCUGACUUUUCUCUUUCUUCCCAAGUUUUCUUUUCUCCCCACUCCUCACUGUCGGCUCAGGAGUGGUAGUUACCUCCUCAAGGUCCUCACUAUGAUCGAUUAGGAUCUGUGCUAAGUGUUUGGCGCNGGAACGAAUGGCUUUCUCGAAACUAGGAAAGACAACAUGAAUGAGGCUCAGUUAUUACAUGCUAAAGGUGACAUCAAAGCAUCUCAUAAAAAGUUUGCCAAUAGAUCGAAUGGAAAAGAAUAAUUGUUUGGAUUGAGGAUACAAUUUACGGAUACGACACCAGCGU